Molecule: long non-coding RNA, 2136 nt
Organism: Amphibalanus amphitrite
Lineage: Eukaryota; Metazoa; Arthropoda; Thecostraca; Balanomorpha; Balanidae
Exons: 2
Source: RefSeq, a predicted model, not a curated record
GGCGCAGUGUUUUCCAGCCGUUGCGUGUAUUGUUAUACAGAGUUUGAAUAUUGUUUAUUUGAUAUUAAUAUCACUUUUUAUGUGUUUGAAGAUCGGAAAAGCAUACACAUAUAAGUGGCAUUCACACACUUGUCUCAAAGAUCAUGAAGAAUGACCAGCUUCAGCAGUUCAGCUCAGGUCCGGGGCUGGUCCUCUUGACGGCGUGCAGGAGAGCGAGGAGUGGCUACCUGCACAUAACAGCACAAUGACCGGCACCGAGCUGAGGGCAUAAAAUCACAUCAUAUCGACUUCAGCAUCUGUCUCCCAGCUUUGGAGACGUCGCCCGAGUCCCUGAGUGGCGAGCGCCAGUUUCCGAAAGGAAGUUAAGGAAGGCGACCCGAAAGCACUCGCUGGGCUGCCGACACUCCUGCGCUGCCAGCAGGGCGUGCUGCGCAGCAAAGCCUCGCGGCGUGGUCUGUACGACAUCCGACAUCGGCACCCAGACGUGCAGUUUCUGAUGACAUCCCACCUCAACCAGGGCUGCCCCGAGAAUCUGCUGACUGCCUGCUGCUGAGGCCGACCUGCUGAGCCUGUCGCCGCCCCGACGGACCUGCCGACGACCUGCCGGACCUGUCGCCGCCCUGGUGAGCCUGCGGCCGCCCUGGAACCUGCUGCCGCCGCGUCUACGCUGCCGCCCUGGUGAAACUGCCGUCGCCCUGCCGGACCUGUCGCCGCCCUGGUGAGCCUGCGGCCGCCCUGGAACCUGCUGCCACCCCGGCGGACCUGCCGCCGCGUUUACGCUGCCGCCCUGGUGAAACAGGUCCGUCGUCGCCCUGCCGGACCUGUCGCCGCCCUGGUAAACCUGCUGCCGACCUGUCGCACCUGCCACCGCCCUGGUGAAUCUGCUGCCGACCUGCCUGACCUGUCGCUGCCGUGGUGAACCUGCCACCGACCUGCCGGACCUUUCUCGCCGCCUUGAUGAGCUUGGGGAGCCUGUGCUGAGGUGCCACCGCUCUGCUUCACGUGUAAUGUUGCCCGGUUCCUGGCUGUCGCGUGGUCAGUCGGCACAUUGUGUUUGGAGAGGCGACAUCUUGUACAACUUUCCGACAGUUCGGAGCAUUUUAGUUUACCUACUCAAGUCGCAAGAGAUUAGGCUUGUGCCUUAUCUGUCCUCUACCAAUCUGUCCAAUAUGGUUUUUAACUAUAACUACGAUUUAUGCACUCAAAACUUUUUUACGACCUCCUGGAGGGUUCAUUUUCAUCAAACCCCCAAGAUAAGAGUAUAUUGAAAGGGUAACUCGCUGCUACCAUUAUGUGCAUAGUAACGGUACGUGGUUAAUAUGAACUUAUUCGCCAGCGAAGAGUAUAAUUACCAUGUAAAUAUCAAUAUUACUCUCGCGAUCCAGAACAUCAUGAAAACUCUUUCCUUCUGGGUAUCGUGACUCGUGUACAGAUAGUCGUUUCAUGCGUGGAUCUUGUUUACCCUCGUGAAGAUGAUAUUUGAAAUGGAACCAAUCAGCCAAUCAGAAACGAGAUCGGCCGUUUGCGGUUUGAAGGCCGCGCGCAUCUGUCAGUUUUCGGCCGUUGGUCUCCGAGAGCGGAUGUGAGCAGUGUCGGUGCCGCGCGGCGUGGCCGUUGGUGAUUGUGCUUGUGUGCUGUUCAUCGCCUAUAGAGCCUCUAUGGACAUUUUAUUGUAAGUACCGAUGUGCUAGAGCAUUGCGUGCCGUUGAGUGGUGCUAAUUUGACCUGGUUAACAGGACCCCGUGCACGGCCACGUGGCCUAGUGUUGAGUACGUACAUUAAUUUUGUUGUGAUGCUACAAGUUUAUGCAUAUUGUUGGUGACUUUGAAAAAAGACUUGUACUGUAGUGAUCCAGUCUCAUUAUCUCACGCAGACGGGCGACCACCCAGGAACGCCGUCGCUCACUUCAAAUAUUGUGCGCUGUGCCUUAUCCAAUAUGAGGGUGCUGAAUGUCUUGUAGGUAUUCAUAUUCAAAUUGCAUUCAAGUUGUCGCGUGGUGUUUAUUUAUCGCUUGUGCAUUGAUGAACGCUUUGUUAAAUUCGUAUGAAUAAGUGAAGAGUCUCACAAUGUUCAUGGCUGGUGUGCCCCUCGUAUUGUUUGUACGGAAGCCAAAUAUAUAUUGUUGCUCUUGAAACA